AGAGUUUGAUCAUGGCUCAGAACGUACGCUGGCGGCACGCCUAACACAUGCAAGUCGAACGAAGUAGCAAUACUUAGUGGCAGACGGGUGAGUAACAUGUAGGUAUCUGCCCUUUGGCCUGGAAUAACACGAGGAAACUUGUGCUAAUACCGGAUAAGUCUUUACGGAGAAAGCUUUAUGCACCAUUGGAUGAGCCUGCACUUGAUUAGUUUGUUGGUGGGGUAAUGGCCUACCAAGACUGUGAUCAAUAGCUGAUUUGAGAGGAUGAUCAGCCACAUUGGGACUGAGACACGGCCCAAACUCCUACGGGAGGCAGCAGUGGGGAAUCUUGCACAAUGGAGGAAACUCUGAUGCAGCGAUGCCGCGUGAGUGAAGAAGGCCUUUGGGUUGUAAAGCUCUUUCGUCGGGGAAGAAAAUGACUGUACCCGAAUAAGAAGGUCCGGCUAACUUCGUGCCAGCAGCCGCGGUAAUACGAAGGGACCUAGCGUAGUUCGGAAUUACUGGGCUUAAAGAGUUCGUAGGUGGUUGAAAAAGUUGGUGGUGAAAUCCCAGAGCUUAACUCUGGAACUGCCAUCAAAACUUUUCAGCUAGAGUAUGAUAGAGGAAAGCAGAAUUUCUAGUGUAGAGGUGAAAUUCGUAGAUAUUAGAAAGAAUACCAAUUGCGAAGGCAGCUUUCUGGAUCAUUACUGACACUGAGGAACGAAAGCAUGGGUAGCGAAGAGGAUUAGAUACCCUCGUAGUCCAUGCCGUAAACGAUGUGUGUUAGACGUUGGAAAUUUAUUUUCAGUGUCGCAGCGAAAGCGAUAAACACACCGCCUGGGGAGUACGACCGCAAGGUUAAAACUCAAAUGAAUUGACGGGGACCCGCACAAGUAGUGGAGCAUGUGGUUAAUCGAAGA
RNAcentral lists this ribosomal RNA (899 nucleotides) under marine metagenome. Its description in RNAcentral is "bacterial SSU rRNA". It matches the Rfam family "Bacterial small subunit ribosomal RNA", at positions 8 to 957 of the family's 1533-position model. The record is from RNAcentral.